Molecule: long non-coding RNA, 1040 nt
Organism: Haliotis rubra (blacklip abalone)
Lineage: Eukaryota; Metazoa; Mollusca; Gastropoda; Lepetellida; Haliotidae
Exons: 2
Source: RefSeq, a predicted model, not a curated record
CUAUUCUGUAUUUUUCAAAAUAUUUGAUACCCAAAUUCAACCAAUCCUUUUGUAUGGUGCCGAAGUAUGGGGUAUUAAUAAAUGUACAUUUAACUGCAUGUAAGAAGUUCUUAAAUGUUGGUCCCCAAACACCAAAUGUAAUUGUUUAUGGUGAAUGUGGACGUUACCCAAUGUAUAUAAAUGCACAACGGCGUUUCAUAAAAUACUGGCUUAAACUUGUAAAUAUGCAUCAACAAAGAAUUCCAAGAAAAAGCUUAUGAUAUGCUAAUGUAUUACGAUAAUUGUGGUUACGAGAACUAUGUUUCAUAUGUGCGUAAUUUAUUGUUUUCAAAUUGAUUUGGUAAUGUUUGGUUAUUUCAAGGUGUUGGUAAUGAAUCUCAGUUUCUUCAAAUGUUUCAACAAGUUGCAGUUGACAUGUAUAUACAGUCAUGGAAUAUUUUUUGUUUAUGAGUUUUCAUUAACCUAAUGGAGUUACUUCCUUCCUAACAUUGUUUUUCCAACAUAAACAAUAUAAAAUACAGUUAUUGUCAUUAUCCAUAAACUCUUCUCUUUGUGUUUGGAUUAGUACAUUUGGACCAGUCCAUUAAUUAACGAAGGUAAUAGUGUAGAGAACCUUAGUGCAACCAACCAUAACCGUUAGGAAACGUCCUGGCCUUGAAAAAAUAAACGGUCCAAUCACACUGAAUUGAUACUCUCUUUCAUAGCGACUUUCACGGAGCAAUGAAAAACAACAAAUACUCAAAGAUAACACAAUAAGCCAUAGUUUAUUUGUGCAUAAAAUAUGUCUAAAACGUGAAUCAUUAGGAAAUAUAGUGAAGUUCACAAACGAAGUCCUGUUAUAAAUGUUCACACAGUAGUACAUAUAUAAAGAAAUCCACAAUGUGUGUGUGUGUGUGUGUGUGUGUGUGUAGUACUGUACAUGUAUGUAUAGUCUUUGUUUUCCUUAACGAGAUGCUGUACACAAGGGAAGUAGUCAAGAAACGGUAAUGCAUACAAUAUACUCGGUUUGCAAAACAGUACAAUAUCAGCUCACACUGUGA